This 643-nucleotide ribosomal RNA is filed under the name cf. Athelopsis sp. UC2022932. RNAcentral's name for it is "eukaryotic LSU rRNA". The stretch from base 241 to 395 matches the Rfam family "5.8S ribosomal RNA". Lineage: Eukaryota; Fungi; Basidiomycota; Agaricomycetes; Atheliales; Atheliaceae. The record is from RNAcentral.
UCUUGGUCAUUUAGAGGAAGUAAAAGUCGUAACAAGGUUUCCGUAGGUGAACCUGCGGAAGGAUCAUUAUCGAAUUACCGGUGAGGGUUGUUGCUGGCCUCCAGGGGCAUGUGCACACCCGAGCCUUUAAUCCAACACACCUGUGAACUUAAUGUAGGCCUUAGGGCCUAUGUCUUUCAUCAACCCUUUGCAUGUCUAAUAGAAUGUAAAUCAUUUGUUGCCAUAAAAAGCAAUCAAUACAACUUUCAACAACGGAUCUCUUGGCUCUCGCAUCGAUGAAGAACGCAGCGAAAUGCGAUAAGUAAUGUGAAUUGCAGAUUUUCAGUGAAUCAUCGAAUCUUUGAACGCACCUUGCGCUCCUUGGUAUUCCGAGGAGCAUGCCUGUUUGAGUGUCAUUAAAUUCUCAACCUCAUCUGAUUUGUUUCGGAUCGAGGCUUGGACUUGGGGUGUGCUGGCGAGAGUCGGCUCCCCUUUAAAUGCAUCAGCGGAAUUCAAACCCUUGCUGUCAUCAGUGUGAUAAUCAUGUUGCGCUGUUACCAGGCUAGGGGUCCGCUUACAGCCGUCUUCGGACAACUCUGAAACAUUUGACCUCAAAUCAGGUAGGACUACCCGCUGAACUUAAGCAUAUCAAUAAGCGGAGGAA